Molecule: ribosomal RNA, 497 nt
Filed under: uncultured bacterium
Lineage: Bacteria
Description: partial 16S ribosomal RNA
Rfam family: Bacterial small subunit ribosomal RNA
Source: RNAcentral
GAUGAACGCUGGCGGCGUGCUUAACACAUGCAAGUCGAACGAAGCAUUUACGACAGAUUUCUUCGGAUUGAAGUUGAUUAUGACUGAGUGGCGGACGGGUGAGUAAUGCGUGGGUAACCUGCCUUGUACUGGGGGAUAGCAGCUGGAAACGGCUGGUAAUACCGCAUAAGCGCACAAUGUUGCAUGACAUGGUGUGAAAAACUCCGGUGGAAUAAGAUGGACCCGCGUCUGAUUAGCUAGUUGGUGAGAUAACAGCCCACCAAGGCAACGAUCAGCAGCCGACCUGAGAGGGUGACCGGCCACAUUGGGGAUGAGACACGGGCGAGACUCCUACGGGAUGCGGCAGUGAGGAAUAUUGCAGAAUGGAGGAAACUCUGAUGCAGCGACGCCGCGUGCAUGAAGAAGUAAUUCGUUAUGUAAAGCUCUAUCAGCAGGGAAGAUAGUGACGGUACCUGACUAAGAAGCUCCGGCUAAAUACGUGCCAGCAGCCGCCGCAG